This is a non-coding RNA of Pantherophis guttatus, 604 nucleotides long. NCBI's taxonomy places the organism in Eukaryota, Metazoa, Chordata, Lepidosauria, Squamata, Colubridae. The record is from RefSeq and is a predicted model, not a curated record.
UGAUGGUGACAGACGUCUUGCCCUGCAUAUAUAUUUAAAGGGAGUCCUAUUGCUUUUCCACAGAAAACAUUCACUUAUGAAGGUAGUGAGACAGAAUAGUGACUGAGCACUUCAUUCCUAAGACAGAAAUCCUUUCUCCUGGGUGGUCUGUCUAGGCCAUCCAUUGGAAACUGCAGAAGAACAUACACUGAGGUUGAAUGUAUCAGAAGAUUGCCAUCAAAAGAAGGGACAGAAAUGCCUCUGAAUCAACACAAUGUUAGGUUUCGUAAAUAUCACCGGCCCUUUGGCUUUUGCAAACGUAUCUAUUUAGACUAGAAGAAGUAUUUAUGAAGGGAGGAAACUGUCCUGCCCAUACCACCCACUGCGAUUACUAUUAAAAAUACCAAGAUUUCCUUUUGGGUUGCCUGUAACCCCUGAAGGUUAGAUGAACAAUGGAUUCCAAAUGUUUUCUUGAGUGCCUUGUUAUGAUUGGAUUUAUGAGAAAGUUCACUUGCAACGAUCCACCCUUAUAAGAGCUUUGGAAAAGCAAACAUUUUCCAUUUUCCCUGAGCAAUCAGUAUACAAAGUAGAGCACAAUUAAACCCACCGUGUUCUUUUGUUUCAA